AUUGAACGCUGGCGGCAGGCCUAACACAUGCAAGUCGAACGAGUGGCGGACGGGUGAGUAAUGUUUGGGAAUCUGCCUUAUGGAGGGGGAUAACUACGGGAAACUGUAGCUAAUACCGCGUACCAUAGGAUGAGCCCAAGUGGGAUUAGCUAGUAGGUGGGGUAUCGGCUCACCUAGGCGACGAUCCCUAGCUGGUCUGAGAGGAUGACCAGCCACACUGGAACUGAGACACGGUCCAGACUCCUACGGGAGGCAGCAGUGGGGAAUAUUGCACAAUGGGCGCAAGCCUGAUGCAGCCAUGCCGCGUGUAUGAAGAAGGCCUUCGGGUUGUAAAGUACUUUCAGCGAGGAGGCGUUACUCGCAGAAGAAGCACCGGCUAACUCCGUGCCAGCCGCCGCGGUAAUAC
RNAcentral lists this ribosomal RNA (406 nucleotides) under uncultured bacterium. Its description in RNAcentral is "partial 16S ribosomal RNA". It matches the Rfam family "Bacterial small subunit ribosomal RNA", at positions 30 to 526 of the family's 1533-position model. The record is from RNAcentral.